Molecule: unclassified non-coding RNA, 181 nt
Filed under: uncultured fungus
Lineage: Eukaryota; Fungi
Description: sequence contains ITS1
Source: RNAcentral
GUAUUUUGAAUUAUUUAUUCAUAAUAUUUUUCAGACAAAGAGUUAAAAAAAUAGGUUGAUGUUUGGUCGAUCUCCAUAAAGAAGAUCAACUGACAUUGCACACAAGGUGGAUAUGGAUUUUUAAAGAGUGCCAUAAAACACUCGUUUGUGAAUGAUCCUUCCGCAGGUUCACCUACGGAAA